RNAcentral lists this long non-coding RNA (2431 nucleotides) under Pongo abelii (Sumatran orangutan). RNAcentral's name for it is "lincRNA". The record is from RNAcentral. Lineage: Eukaryota; Metazoa; Chordata; Mammalia; Primates; Hominidae.
GCUGAAGAGGGUGAAAAAAAACAGGGCAGGAGCAACCCCUCCACUGAAAUGCACUGGGAAGGGGGACUUAGAUACUAACACAAGUUCAAUUCAAGAAGCAUUUAUUGAACCCUCCUCAUGAGCCAGGUCAGGGUGUUCAGCACUGAGCGUGUCAAGAUGAAGACACAUAGCCUCUAAGUGUCCACCAUCUGCAAUAGCUAAUGUUUAAUUGUCCUUAAAAGUUGAAGAAUGUCGACUGGAUUGUCUGCAAAUCAGUCAUGUGAGUAGUGUUAAUCUAAUGAAGAAGAAUCUUAAAAGACAAAUUCUCCAAAUGCUGCUGCUCCUGCAUCCUGCUGCUCUACCUGCUGUGGGGAGGAGGCACUGGGAAUUAGUGUUAAACAAGACACAAAAUGUGUGCUCUCAGGAAGAUCAUAUGCCAGUGCAGAGAGAUGAUAAACACGAAUUCCAAUAAAUGCACAGAGAGUUUGUGCCAUGAAGAAAAUAAAACAAGCUGAUGAAAUUAUAACUACCAGUGACCACUCCCUGAUAUGCUGCAGAUGCAAUUGAGUAGCAGCUUCAUUCCACAUUUCUCCAACAUCUUUCAUGGUGAGGUCAAGAGCAUAUUCAAAACCAUGUGUGGCUCAGUCCAACUGGAGAGACCAAGUCAAAGACCCUCAUUUCCAUAAGGCACAGAGUGAAGAAGUGGCAAGUUACACGGCCAGAGCAUGCACAGAAGAAAACUUCGACCUCAAAUAAUACCUAGAACCAAAGUCCCUACCGCAGAACUAAAAGAUUGGGACAUGGCUGGAACUCAAGCGCCUAAACACUUUCAAAAGACUUUGCCUUCCAGUGUCUACUUGGCCUUCCAGUGUCAGACAGCUUCUUGCACAUGAUCCAUCCAGCUGAGGACACAGAUGUCAAAAAAAAAAAAAACCAUAAAUACAGAAUUCAAGAAAAUUUUACCAAUAUGUUAUAUUUGCUGUGGUUGCUUUACAGAUUUUUAAAAAUUAUUGGUCCAGUAACAGGUCUGAAAUUUAAGCCUUCUCCUGGUUUUGAAGCAUUUUUUAGGUAAGUAGUUUUCAUACUUUGAUGUAUAUCAGAAUCACCUGGGUGGUGGAUCUGGAAAUGUGUAUUUUUAAAGUUGGUGUUUUUAUUAAUAGACUUUAUUUUUUAGAACAGUUUUAGAGUUACAAAAAAUUAAGGCAAUAAUACAGAAGUUUCUCAACACACACACAUAGAGUUUCCCCUAUUAACAUCUUACAUUAGUAUGGUACCUUUGUUGCAAUUAAGGAACCAAUGUUAAUAUAUUAUUAUUAACAAAAGGCAAUAGUUUACUUCAAUUUCCUUAGAUUUUACCUAAUACCUUUGUUCUGUUCUAGAAUCCAAUUCAGGAUCCCAUAUUGUGUGUUUAGUUAUUAUGUCUCCUUAUGCUGCUCUUGGCUGUGACCAUUUCUCAGACUUCCCUUGUUUUUGGUGAUCUUGACAGUUUUAAGGAGUACUGUAAUAUUCAAGUGUUUUGUAGGAUUGCCCUAUAUUGGAAUUUGUCUGAUGUUUUAGUCUCAGGUUAUGAGUUUGGGGAAGGAGGAUCACAGAGGUAAAGAACCACUGUCAUCAUAGUCUAUAAAGGGUACAUGUUGUCACAUGACUUAUGGGUGUGGUUGACCUUGAGCAUUUGGCUUCAGUAGUAUUAGACAGAUUUCUAUGUCAUAACGUUACUCUUUCAUUUCCCCUUUCCAUAACGUAUUCAAUGGAAGGAAGUCACUAUAUGCAGCCCACACCUAAGGAAUGGGGAGUUAUGCUCCCCCUCCAUUAGGAUGUAGUCUACAUAAUUUAUUUGGAGUUUUCCUGCAUGGGAGAUUUAUCUCCUCUCUAUCAUUUAUUAAUUUAUUCAAUAAUUUAUUUAUGUCAGUAUGGACUCAUACAUAUUUAUUUUAUACUUUCAGUUAUACUCUAAAGUGACUUUAUUUAUGUUGUUUCUCAAAAUAUGCUAGCUUUGGCCAGUGGGAGCUCUUUCAGUUAGCUCAUGUACACUUUUGAUGUACCCCAUCUGUGUGUGUGUGUGUGUGUGUGUGUUGAGUAUUUACUUACUUUCUGGCACUACAAAAUGCUCUAGAGUCAUUUCAUAUAGUCACUGCCCCAGUCCUAGAAUCAACCAUUUCUCCAAAUAGCCCUGGUGCCUUUUAUUGAAGAAUAGUAUAAGAAACCAAGAUUUGAGUGCUUGGUGUGCUCCUUACUACUGGAUGUCAUUUCUUUUACACCCUGUCAGCUCACAGAGCAAAGAAAUACAUGUGCAUAUAAGAAGCUGUGUGUGUAAAUAUACAGCUUGGAAACACCUGUAUCUACUUUAAGUUAAACAUGAGUUCUUACUGAUGUCACCAACUCUACUCCAUUAUCACAUGGACCAUUCUCUCACUUAACUAUCAUCUCCCACUCAAACAGUAAGAAACCUGGC